GCAUAAUAAUUAUAGUUUACAGUUGCGGAAAAUAACUCUUAAGGCUGUUAAAUCCUUCGAAUAAACGAAUUUCAACCCAUUAAUAUUUCCUAUGUAUUUGUGCCAUCUAGUGGGUGGUAGCAAAAAUUAAAAAAACUUAACGAAUCAGAACUGCGCCACCUAAUGUUAGCUGAAAACAUUUUAUUUCGCUGAUAAUAGGCUUAAUUACUAUUGGUGAUUUUCUUAUCGUUUUAGGUGUGUUUUAUAGUUCACGAUACAAGCAAGUUUACCCGGAGUAUGUUACAUGUUUAAGCCAUCAACAUCCACCAAACAAGACGUUAACCAGGUAACUGGUGAACAGUGAAAUUAAAAAAAAAUCAGUGUUGUAAGGGUUCCUGGUCGUCAGAAUGCUACAACUUAUAGAACCGAAUUUAUAUUUAGGGUGUCGACAAGCAGCUGAAGAUAUAAAUGUUCUUAAGAACCACAACAUUACACACAUCUUAACUAUUGAAGAUGAACCGUUGUCAGAAGAAAUUACAAAGAAUGAAUGCUUCACUACAAAACAUAUCUUUCUGUAUGAUUUACAAUACAAUCAAAAUCUAAUAAGUCACCUUGAUGACACCUACACUUUCAUCUCCGAAGGACUGACAAAAGGAACUGUAUUGGUCCACUGUCUAAUGGGCGUCUCCAGAAGCGCCUCAGUUGUAAUAGCUUUUAUGAUGAAGAAAUACCACCUAAUGUAUGAGGAAGCCUAUGAAAAAGUAAAUAGAAAGAGAAGAAUAUGUCCAAAUCCAGGAUUUGAAGCUCAGUUAAAAUUAUAUGAAAAAAUUGGUUAUCAGCUAGAUACCCAGCAUACCAGUUAUAGAUUAUUUAGAUUACGAACAGCCGCUAGGCAAAUCAAUAAUCAUGGUUUACUACAUCAAGAUUCCUUAGAUUUAAUUAUACCAGAUCCUGGACUAGCUGAACCAAAGUCAGGACAUUUUGCCUAUUACUGCAGCCAAUGCUCGAGGAUUUUAGCGCCCAAAUCGAGUUGUAUUCCACAUGAAAAUGAGAAUGAAAUUUGUGAAAAAUCGUUUUUUGUCAUGCCAAUAGCCUGGAUGAAGCAUGUUGCUAAAACUACAAAAAACAAGCUGCUGUGCCCAAAUUGUAGCACGGAAGUGGGGUCGUUUAACUGGGGCGAAGAUGGCAUUCAGUGUGAAUGUUCUGUUAAAAUUUCUCCGGCCUUUUGUUUAAUGCCCCCUCAAGUAAAAUAUCGUUCAGAGUAAGUUUACAUUUUAUCUUUGUCUUUAUAUAUAGCGUAAUAUUUUGUUAAAAAAAUGACCUAAUUUUAAUAUUUAUAUACUUUAACUUAUUUGUAAAUUAUUUAUUUUAUUGUAAUAAAACUGUUUAUAUUUUA
This is a long non-coding RNA of Zophobas morio, 1375 nucleotides long. RefSeq lists it as uncharacterized. The transcript is spliced from 2 exons. NCBI's taxonomy places the organism in Eukaryota, Metazoa, Arthropoda, Insecta, Coleoptera, Tenebrionidae. The record is from RefSeq and is a predicted model, not a curated record.